UCCGUAGGCGGGCAAUUAAGUCAGAGGUGAAAUCCCACAGCUCAACUGUAGAACUGCCUUUGAUACUGGUUGUCUUGAGUUAUAGUGAAGUAGAUAGAAUAUGUAGUGUAGCGGUGAAAUGCAUAGAUAUUACAUAGAAUACCGAUUGCGAAGGCAGUCUACUAACUGUACACUGACGCUAAUGGACGAAAGCGUGGGGAGCGAACAGGAUUAGAUACCCUGGUAGUCC
This 229-nucleotide ribosomal RNA is filed under the name uncultured bacterium. RNAcentral's name for it is "partial 16S ribosomal RNA". It matches the Rfam family "Bacterial small subunit ribosomal RNA", at positions 568 to 796 of the family's 1533-position model. The record is from RNAcentral.